RNAcentral lists this ribosomal RNA (433 nucleotides) under uncultured bacterium. RNAcentral describes it as "partial 16S ribosomal RNA". It matches the Rfam family "Bacterial small subunit ribosomal RNA", at positions 29 to 507 of the family's 1533-position model. The record is from RNAcentral.
AACGAACGCUGGCGGCAUGCCUAACACAUGCAAGUCGAACGAGACCUUCGGGUCUAGUGGCGCACGGGUGCGUAACGCGUGGGAACCUGCCCUUAGGUUCGGAAUAACUCCCCGAAAGGGGUGCUAAUACCGGAUAAUGUCUUCGGACCAAAGAUUUAUCGCCUUUGGAUGGGCCCGCGUUGGAUUAGCUAGUUGGUAGGGUAAAAGCCUACCAAGGCGACGAUCCAUAGCUGGUCUGAGAGGAUGAUCAGCCACACUGGGACUGAGACACGGCCCAGAAUCCUACGGGAGGCAGCAGUGGGGAAUAUUGGAAAAUGGGCGAAAGCCUGAUCCAGCAAUGCCGCGUGAGUGAUGAAGGCCUUAGGGUUGUAAAGCUCUUUUACCCGGGAUGAUAAUGACAGUACCGGGAGAAUAAGCGCCGGCUAACUCCGUG